UCGAGAAUCUUCCACAAUGGACGAAAGUCUGAUGGAGCGACGCCGCGUGAGUGAUGAAGGCCCUACGGGUUGUAAAACUCUGUCAGGAGAGAAGAAUCGCCGGGGUGCCAAUACCAUCCUGGUUUGACGUUAUCUCCAGAGGAAGCUCCGGCUAACUCCCUGCCAGCAGCCGCGGUAAUACGGGGGGAGCAAGCGUUGUCCGGAAUUAUUGGGCGUAAAGGGCGUGUAGGCGGCCUGGUCAGUCGAAUG
This 249-nucleotide ribosomal RNA is filed under the name uncultured bacterium. RNAcentral describes it as "partial 16S ribosomal RNA". It matches the Rfam family "Bacterial small subunit ribosomal RNA", at positions 355 to 594 of the family's 1533-position model. The record is from RNAcentral.